This 809-nucleotide ribosomal RNA is filed under the name uncultured bacterium. RNAcentral's name for it is "bacterial SSU rRNA". It matches the Rfam family "Bacterial small subunit ribosomal RNA", at positions 8 to 796 of the family's 1533-position model. The record is from RNAcentral.
AGAGUUUGAUCCUGGCUCAGAAUCAACGCUGGCGGCGUGCCUAACACAUGCAAGUCGAACGCGAAAGUCCCGCAAGGGAUAAGUAGAGUGGCAAACGGGUGAGUAACACGUGGGUGACCUGCCUUCGAGCGGGGGAUAACGUCCCGAAAGGGACGCUAAUACCGCAUGACAUCCUGCCUUUGAAGAGGCGGAGAUCAAAGCCGGGGAUCGCAAGACCUGGCACUCGAAGAGGGGCCCGCGCCUGAUUAGCUAGUUGGUGGGGUAAUGGCUCACCAAGGCGACGAUCAGUAGCCGGCCUGAGAGGGCGGACGGCCACACUGGGACUGAGACACGGCCCAGACUCCUACGGGAGGCAGCAGUGGGGAAUUGUUCGCAAUGGGCGCAAGCCUGACGACGCAACGCCGCGUGGAGGACGAAGACCUUCGGGUCGUAAACUCCUUUCGAUCGAGACGAAUGGCCUCUGGGUGAAUAUCCCGGGGGAGUGACGGUACCGAGAGAAGAAGCCCCGGCUAACUCCGUGCCAGCAGCCGCGGUAAUACGGGGGGGGCAAGCGUUGUUCGGAAUUACUGGGCGUAAAGGGCUCGUAGGUGGCCAACUAAGUCAGACGUGAAAUCCCUCAGCUUAACUGGGGAACUGCGUCUGAUACUGGAUGGCUUGAGUUUGGGAGAGGGAUGCGGAAUUCCAGGUGUAGCGGUGAAAUGCGUAGAUAUCUGGAGGAACACCGGUGGCGAAGGCGGCAUCCUGGACCAACACUGACACUGAUGAGCGAAAGCCAGGGGAGCAAACGGGAUUAGAUACCCCCGUAGUCC